Molecule: long non-coding RNA, 2097 nt
Organism: Balaenoptera ricei (Rice's whale)
Lineage: Eukaryota; Metazoa; Chordata; Mammalia; Artiodactyla; Balaenopteridae
Exons: 4
Source: RefSeq, a predicted model, not a curated record
UGCCGUCUCAAGUUCUGGAGCCGAGCUGCUGCUCUGGGCUGGGGUGUGGAGGACCGCGGAUGCAGUUACAGCCGGGUAACCGGGCUGGAAACACCAGAGACGGACGUUUUCUGCGAUGCAGUGCCACUGGUGUCCAGAGGUUUAAAUCACCCCUGACUCUUCUAGACAGGAGACUAUAGAGAACUCAGGCUGUUUAAAAAGACUUGAAAUCUUAUUUGGAUAAUCUCGAUUGUUUCACGGAUUUCCAAACUUGUAAGUGCAAUGAAUCUGCAGUUCUAUUUGGAAAGAUAACCAUUUUAAGUUGAAUGAGAAUGACAUCACAGUCAUACCUGUGAAAUCUAAAAUGUCUAACAAAGUGGAUUCCUAUGUCUGAACUUCAGUUUUAAGGCACAGCUGUGGAUGCAGGACUGAUGCCAUCUGGUGUGAUUGCACAGAAUAAGAGAGAAAAUUUACCCAGAGUGUGCCGUGCACUGGCUUUUCUGGGAAUGGACAAGGUGCCAGGAUUUGUUUUUGGUUCACUUGCAGGGGUGGAAACUUGGAACUAGGUUCCAAGGUGGUUGUUACAGCUCCCCUCAAGAAGAUGGAAGAAACCCAAAGGGAAAACAGAGCACGCCAGUUUGAGUCCGCUUCCGUUUAAAGAGCUUUCGGCAGCCCGGCAACUUUUGCUUACAUCUCAUUGGCCAGACUGUGUCAUUGGCUCCUGCUAUGUCUAAGGUUGGCUGAGAAAGGUAGUUCUUGUAGCUGGACAUAUAACUGCCUUCAACAAAAAUCUGAGUUCUCUUGAUAAGGAAGAAGAUAAUGGUGGAUCUUGGGUGAACAACUUGUAGUCUGUGCCCUGGAUACAAAAUACAGUAGUAAAGAAGCAUAAUGCUUGAAACAUGUCAAAACUGUAGCUCCUUCACAACUGGCAACACUCCAAGCAACACUGCUGCGCUCUGAGAGAGUGAGUAGAGUGAAGACGUGUUAGGUUUUCUCAUGAAACACUUACCAGGACUGACCUUCUCUCUCAGCCAACAUCCUUGCCCCCAUCAGGCUUUUCUAGAGGAAGAUGCUGGGAACCUGCACACUGUCUUGGAGGACAUAAUCUCUUCAUGGAGGUUUGAAAUGGGAUGAGGAAUGUCCUACCUUGCUACUUCCACAUCUGCUUCAUUUCUCUCUUCUCUGAUUUUCCUGACAAAUUUUUGGUGGAAUCUAGUUGUGUAUUUGAUCCCCAUAAAAAGAUCAUUCCUUUCACGCACCGGGGAGGGUAAUCUAUGUGAAGAAAGGCUACUUUACUCCCUUCUGUGACUCCACCACCAAUCUAGGAAUAUCCUGGAAGAAUUGCUUCUCAGAACUGCUUCCAUAUGCAGCCUACAUCCUGGCUCAGCAAAGGGAGAAGAAACACUUCCCACAUCCAGGGCUGUCCAAAAGAACUUUCUGUGAUGACAGAAAUGUUCUAUAUCUGAACUGUCUUAUAUGGUAGCCACUAGCCACAUGGGGUUAGCGAACACUUGAAAUGUGGCUACUGUGAUUGAGGAGGUAAAUUUAAAUUUUAUCUACUUUUAAAUAAUUUAAAUGUAAAUAGCCACAUGCGGCCAGUGUCUAUUGUGCUGUACAGCAUAGUACACACCUUUCUCUUUCCUGUGUUUUAGAACUUGCUGGGUGUGUGUAUGGGGAGGAGGAUGGUUAGAGUCACCAUGUAAGUCACAUGCUUGGUGUUCCAUGGUCUUCACUGUUCCACCUCGCCAUUGAACUUGUCUCCCAGAGGAAAAGGAAACAUGGUAUUUUGGAACUAAAUUCAAGAUGUUAACUUGACAUUUACACAUUGAACGUAGGUAUAAGUGGAAUGGUCUCCUGGGAAUAGAUCCUGUGAUUGAUUUUAGUAAUAAUUGGUGAUGGGAAAGGGGUAGUGCCAAUCAUUUAACAUUCCUAGUGAACAUUAUGUGUUCCUAGUCAAAGUCAGCAGAGAUUAUUUUAUUCUGUUGUGUAAUUCAUUCUUUUACUUUAUUUUUUUAAUAUUGUGGCUGUUAAAUGAUACUUCAUGUCUGUUUUUCAAAAUACUUUGUGGUUUAUACUUUUAACAGGCUGUGAAAUAAAAACAUAAUUAUAUGUAACUCA